Pezoporus occidentalis (night parrot) is the source of this 519-nucleotide long non-coding RNA. RefSeq lists it as uncharacterized. The record is from RefSeq and is a predicted model, not a curated record. NCBI's taxonomy places the organism in Eukaryota, Metazoa, Chordata, Aves, Psittaciformes, Psittacidae. The transcript is spliced from 2 exons.
UUGUUGAAGGGUUUGGAUGUUUAAUAUUCUUUAGGUAUCUCUACUGAUGAAUCUAAAAAAUAUGAGAAUCUCUGAUACUUGACGAUGACCUUCAGUGAUAUUACAGGGAUUUAUGCAAGUGUUAUUCAGAGACAUCAAAGAUCUAUUGCGGAUGGUUGUCCAACUACUGCAAGGUCUUGAAAGACCAUUGAAAUCAACAGGAGGUUUAAAGUCUGAUGAAAUUUCUGACGAUCUGUGUGCUACCAUCUCCACUGAUCUUUUGUGUCAAAUGUAAGACAUUCACAGCAAUUUAAGAGGUGGCACUUUGGAGCUAUACAUGUUCAUUAUCUUAGAAUGUUUGUUUCCCCCACUCCAGUGUCUUUCUUAUAGGGAUCUGAACUCUUUAGGUACUAUUUUGUAUUCCAAGAACUUUAAUUGUCUUUUAAUUCCUCAGUGGUCAUAUCCUCAACUAUGUUUAUGUUUAGCUUUUUUCUUUCCAAUGUCAUUUCAUCAGUGAAUAAGAUUUGAUUGAUGCUGGCA